CCUACGGGUGGCAGCAGUGGGGAAUAUUGGACAAUGGGGGCAACCCUGAUCCAGCCAUGCCGCGUGUGUGAAGAAGGCCCUCGGGUUGUAAAGCACUUUCAGUGAGGAAGAACGCCUGGUGGUUAAUACCCAUCAGGAAAGACAUCACUCACAGAAGAAGCACCGGCUAACUCCGUGCCAGCAGCCACGGUAAUACGGAGGGUGCGAGCGUUAAUCGGAAUUACUGGGCGUAAAGCGCGCGUAGGUGGCUUGAUAAGCCGGUUGUGAAAGCCCCGGGCUCAACCUGGGAACGGCAUCCGGAACUGUCAAGCUAGAGUGCAGGAGAGGAAGGUAGAAUUCCCGGUGUAGCGGUGAAAUGCGUAGAGAUCGGGAGGAAUACCAGUGGCGAAGGCGGCCUUCUGGACUGACACUGACACUGAGGUGCGAAAGCGUGGGUAGCAAACAGGAUUAGAUACCCGAGUAGUC
This 465-nucleotide ribosomal RNA is filed under the name Vreelandella stevensii. RNAcentral's name for it is "partial 16S ribosomal RNA". It matches the Rfam family "Bacterial small subunit ribosomal RNA", at positions 338 to 795 of the family's 1533-position model. The record is from RNAcentral. Lineage: Bacteria; Pseudomonadati; Pseudomonadota; Gammaproteobacteria; Oceanospirillales; Halomonadaceae.